AACCAACUUUAAAUCUUAAAGAGAAAACAAGAGAUAAACUUUUCGAUCAUUUCUUUAACGAUAUCUCACGAGAAAAUAAGAGACAAGCUUUUCUAUCAUUUCUUUAACAAUACAUCACUACCCACAAAAUCCUAUAAGUUGAACCACCACAAAAUUGUUUUACGAGACCGUGGCUCAUCAUCAACUUCCGCAUUUUCACCCUGAACUCCCCCAUAACCACCGCAAUCCAUAGCAACAACAACCGCUCCGUCGUUACUCCUUGAAACUCAUAGGCAAUGCCAAUGUCUUCUCGUACAUUAAAGUUUAGACAAUGACCCAUCACCAACUUUUGUAUUUUCAUUACGAACAAUCCAUAGCAACCACAUCACCUACGUCAUCAGCCCCCUUCAUAUUACACUAUUAUUUAAUGAUUAUAUCUUGUUAUGUGUUACAAUUUGCAAGCAAGCAAUCUAUCAAUAAUAGAGUAGUCCCUUAAAGAAACCAGAAUAUAGUAUAUUUUUAAAAAACACUAAUAAAAAAUGAAUGAUAUCAAGUUGUUUCCAGAAAAAAUGAAAAAUCAAUAACAUGACUCUUAUAUGUUGACUACAUCUAAUUUCUCUAAAAAAAAUGUUGACUACAUCUAAUUGUUAGUGUCUUUUGUAGUCAAUAUAAUUAUGUACUUAUUUAUUUUUUUCGAAAAUGAUAACGA
Molecule: long non-coding RNA, 688 nt
Filed under: Medicago truncatula (barrel medic)
Lineage: Eukaryota; Viridiplantae; Streptophyta; Magnoliopsida; Fabales; Fabaceae
Description: long non-coding RNA (MTRU_LNC002826)
Source: RNAcentral